AAAAAAGGUUAUGCAAAUCUGACAAGGCCUUUUUUAUGUGAGAGAAGUAUUAUUCAUUAAAAUUCGGUACCUUCUGCCAACUCUUUAACCAUGUUACGUUCACAAUCGCCAGGUUGCUUCAUUAUAUUCGACGGUUGAUGAAAGAUUAGGGCUUCUUCCAAAUAAGCUGGUACUUGAUGAAACUCUAACUUCGAUUGUUAAUUUUUUAUGGAGGAUGUGAGGUUAAUUAAAAAUUGAACUACAUGAACUUUGGUUAGCGAAAGAACGUGUAGGAUUAGAUUUAAAAAAAUAAGCUAAUCAGCCGGAAUCGUGGUGGAAGUGCCAGCGAGGGGGUGUUCAGAAUGCUGUAACUCAAGUUCUACACAAUAUUUUUAGCUUAAAAUUUAUAUUUAUACUGUCGAAAUAUAUGUUAAUAAAUGAUA
This is a long non-coding RNA of Diorhabda sublineata, 422 nucleotides long. RefSeq lists it as uncharacterized. The transcript is spliced from 3 exons. The record is from RefSeq and is a predicted model, not a curated record. NCBI's taxonomy places the organism in Eukaryota, Metazoa, Arthropoda, Insecta, Coleoptera, Chrysomelidae.